GGUACCGCCCUAAGUUUAUUAAUUCGAGCUG
This 31-nucleotide ribosomal RNA is filed under the name Acanthopleura loochooana. RNAcentral describes it as "partial 18S rRNA". Lineage: Eukaryota; Metazoa; Mollusca; Polyplacophora; Chitonida; Chitonidae. The record is from RNAcentral.